RNAcentral lists this ribosomal RNA (376 nucleotides) under uncultured bacterium. RNAcentral's name for it is "bacterial SSU rRNA". It matches the Rfam family "Bacterial small subunit ribosomal RNA", at positions 29 to 417 of the family's 1533-position model. The record is from RNAcentral.
AACGAACGCUGGCGGCAGGCCUAACACAUGCAAGUCGAACGCCGUAGCAAUACGGAGUGGCAGACGGGUGAGUAACGCGUGGGAACAUACCCCUCGGUUCGGAAUAACUCAGGGAAACUUGAGCUAAUACCGGAUACGUCCGAGGUUUUGUAUCGACCUUGGAGAAAGAUUUAUCGCCGAAGGAUUGGCCCGCGUCUGAUUAGCUUGUUGGUGAGGUAAUGGCUCACCAAGGCGACGAUCAGUAGCUGGCCUGAGAGGAUGAUCAGCCACAUUGGGACUGAGACACGGCCCAAACUCCUACGGGAGGCAGCAGUGGGGAAUCUUGCGCAAUGGGCGAAAGCCUGACGCAGCGACGCCGCGUGAGGGAUGACGGCCU